This 348-nucleotide ribosomal RNA is filed under the name uncultured Methanoculleus sp. RNAcentral's name for it is "bacterial SSU rRNA". It matches the Rfam family "Archaeal small subunit ribosomal RNA", at positions 991 to 1338 of the family's 1478-position model. The record is from RNAcentral. Lineage: Archaea; Methanobacteriati; Methanobacteriota; Methanomicrobia; Methanomicrobiales; Methanomicrobiaceae.
UGCAUGGCCGUCGUCAGUUCGUACUGUGAAGCAUCCUGUUAAGUCAGGCAACGAGCGAGACCCACGCCAACAGUUGCCAGCAUGUCCUCCGGGAUGAUGGGGACACUGUUGGGACCGCCUCUGCUAAAGAGGAGGAAGGAAUGGGCAACGGUAGGUCAGCAUGCCCCGAAUUAUCCGGGCUACACGCGGGCUACAAUGGUCAGGACGAUGGGUAUCUACCCCGAAAGGGGACGGAAAUCUCCUAAAACCAAUCUUAGUUCGGAUUGAGGGCUGCAACUCGCCCUCAUGAAGCUGGAAUCCGUAGUAAUCGCGUUUCAACAGAACGCGGUGAAUACGUCCCUGCUCCUU